Molecule: long non-coding RNA, 443 nt
Filed under: Bos taurus (domestic cattle)
Lineage: Eukaryota; Metazoa; Chordata; Mammalia; Artiodactyla; Bovidae
Description: long non-coding RNA NONBTAT023366
Source: RNAcentral
UUAGUUGUUCAAAAAGCCUUAGGUUUAAUUUUUUCAGUCAUCCAUCAUAAAUAAACACUUGAGACAAAUUAAGUAAUCUGCCUUAUUAACCUAUAUUUUUGUUUAUUUCUGCCCAAUAUAAGCAUAUGUAAUUUUGAAAUACUAACUGCAAUUGUCAAAACAGAAAAUUAUAAGUUUUGAUUACUAAACCUCUGGAAGACAAUACACUUUAAAAUAAUACAUUUUAAAGAAAACAGACUUUUAUCUAUACAUUUCAUUAACCACAGACAAAGAUGCUUUAGGAGUAUUAUAAAAUAAUAUUACCUGACUAUAUUCAACAGGGUAAGUUGUAAGAUUGGUGGUUCAGAACUCUACAUUGCUUUGGAUAUAGAAUUUGAAAUGACUACCUUAAAUAAACCUAUAUGGAAUCACCAUUAAAACAUAAUGCAUUUAUUUUUAAUCAC